CAGCUCGGGCCCCAGGGACCAGAGCGCUCGCCCUGGCUGCGCUUCAGGCGUCACCCGGCGGCAGGCAACAACUGAAUAAACACGCUGAAGUUCUGCCGGUUCUCCCGGCCGCAGUCGUCUA
This is a non-coding RNA of Ochotona princeps (American pika), 121 nucleotides long. The record is from Rfam. Lineage: Eukaryota; Metazoa; Chordata; Mammalia; Lagomorpha; Ochotonidae.